Gadus chalcogrammus (walleye pollock) is the source of this 1070-nucleotide long non-coding RNA. RefSeq lists it as uncharacterized. Lineage: Eukaryota; Metazoa; Chordata; Actinopteri; Gadiformes; Gadidae. The record is from RefSeq and is a predicted model, not a curated record. The transcript is spliced from 6 exons.
CUUUCCGGGGAACCGGGAGCGAUUAAGAAGGAAGUGCUCGGCUCUGCGAGCGACUAGAGGCGCACUGAGGCCCUAGAGACCCUGAAAGGCGAGGCUGAGAGGCUGGAGCCCGGAGGCCUGUGGUGCCAGGGUGGACCGGAGACUGGGGCUGGAGACCAGGAGCCUGCAGCACCGGACCAAAGGACCUGGGAUCCAUGGCUGAAGGAGCUGAUGGAGGAGCCGUGCUGAAGGAGCCGAGCUGAAGGAGGAGUCGUGCUGAAGGCCCUGCCUGGUGGAGGAGCUGGUGGAGGGCCUGCCUGGUGAAUGACGUCUGUCGUGGGGUAGAUGGAGCCUGACUCUGAAACCAGGACUCUGUCCGAGGAGAGCUGCUGGAGGAGCUGAGGCGCUGGAGGAUGACUAGGAAUCGACCAACAAGGAUUCCUCAACGUGUUUCUGGAGCGGAGGCAAGCUGGUAGGGGAGCCGUGAAUCUGGAGGAUGACCAUCACUCUACCAACAAGGAUUGCAGAACCACCUGUGCUGAACCUCACCUGAUCCUGUUUGGUCGGGGGUAGACACACCUGAGCUGAACCCGCCCUAAUCCUGACAUCCUGCUGGUCCCGUCUCCUCAGUUCAUCUGAGCCUCGUCCUCCAGAAAGACCUGCUGAGCUCAGCAGUCUGAGGCUGAUGGAUCAAUGACCUCCAGUGGGAGUGAUCUUCUUGACCCCACAUGUAACCGUGUGCUUCCACACGCCUUUCCCUCAUGUUUGUCACUAACCUCACUACUACUUCACUACUCUCUUCUGCUUCCUCUUUUCUUCCGUAUCUGUGGUUCAAACCUUUACACUGAAGGCGCGUCUUCCUGCCAUCAGAUGGUUCAGCGUUAGGGUUGAGAGUCAGGGUUUAGAGUCGGGGACAGAGCUGGUCAGGGAGGACUGCUUUUACACAAACCUCUGCACUUGCUUUCGGAAUGGUGGUGACAUUUUGAAAAGAUUCAUUUGGGAAAAUGUUUUCCUCUGCUUUCCUUUACAAAAUUGUAUUAAACUUUUGUCAAGUGUUAUUGUUUAUAUAUUAAAAUCCCAAAUUGACCUUA